AUUGAACGCUGGCGGCGUGCUUAACACAUGCAAGUCGAACGAAGCACUUUUAAUUCUUCGGAAGAGGAAGUGACUGAGUGGCGGACGGGUGAGUAACGCGUGGGUAACCUGCCUUAUACAGGGGGAUAACAGUUAGAAAUGACUGCUAAUACCGCAUAAGCCGAUAGAGUCGCAUGACUUAGUUGGAAAAGAUUUAUCGGUAUAAGAUGGACCCGCGUCUGAUUAGCUAGUUGGUGAGGUAAUGGCCCACCAAGGCGACGAUCAGUAGCCGGCUUGAGAGAGUGAACGGCCACAUUGGGACUGAGACACGGCCCAAACUCCUACGGGAGGCAGCAGUGGGGAAUAUUGCACAAUGGGGGAAACCCUGAUGCAGCAACGCCGCGUGAAGGAAGAAGUAUUUCGGUAUGUAAACUUCUAUCAGCAGGGAAGAAAAUGACGGUACCUGAUUAAGAAGCCCCGGCUAACUACGUGCCAGCAGCCGCGGUAA
This 487-nucleotide ribosomal RNA is filed under the name uncultured bacterium. RNAcentral describes it as "partial 16S ribosomal RNA". It matches the Rfam family "Bacterial small subunit ribosomal RNA", at positions 30 to 523 of the family's 1533-position model. The record is from RNAcentral.